Molecule: long non-coding RNA, 2063 nt
Organism: Apis florea (little honeybee)
Lineage: Eukaryota; Metazoa; Arthropoda; Insecta; Hymenoptera; Apidae
Source: RefSeq, a predicted model, not a curated record
AUGUUCGGCGAACAACAAACGAACGUCUCUUGUCAAACAAUUACCAAAAGACGGCCAAUUCUUCAGCGACCUCCGAUUCCAAACCAGUGAUACCAUUUUAUUUUGCCUAUUUUCAAUUUAAAAAUACAAAAAAUGAAACACAAAUUUCUCUAUUGCAAUUCUCUACCAAAAUAAACAUCUAUUUCCCAAUUAUGGAAAAUCUAUUUCAUUAGCUAGAUAAUCGCAUGAUGGUACCACUGGCAUACGAUUGCCCGAGGAACACACACAUCGGAUAAAGCCGAAAGACGUCAAUGUACCUUGUGCCGUGGCGAGAAGAGUGUGUGGUGACAUAGACGUUAGCGUCACGGCCGUGAGAACUCGUCGGUGUACUUUGAUGAUGAAGCACGACGUGUCGUUGUUCAGGAGUCCGUUGGGUUGCUGCGUCCUUUGCAACCGUUCCACGUGUUGCUGCAUCUCCGUCCGCAGCGCCGCGAUCUCUGCACGCUGACACCUAAUCCACACACCACACACCCUCAGCCACACAUCCUCUCGUGAGAUCGCUGGUUAUCGAUAUGCCACGAUUCGAGGAGGGACAAUUUUUUUUGGCAUUUCGAGAUGCAACACCUAAGUCUAAUGUCAUGUUUCGGCCAGUCAAUUAAUUUUGAAUAAAUUUAAAAUCAACUGCGUUCUAAAAUACAAAAAUUAUAUGUUUUUUUCACUACCGCAUGCAAAGCGAGAACAAACGUAUCAUCAUUAGUGUUUGUGAUUGCAGUUGAAGCUGAAACAUUAGCUGAAACAGGGUGAAAUUAGAGAAAGAAUUUAAUAAUUUUAUACGCAAAGCGAAUAUAUAUUAAUUAGGCAUGAAAUCAGCAAAAAAUCAAACGAAAUAAAUAUAUAAUAAUUUUCAUUAUACAUGUAUUAUUUAUAUUAACUUACUUCAAUUUAAAUAAUAAUAUAGAAAGUAUAUAAAUUUAUAAUAAUUUAUCAUAAUUAUAAAUAAUACAUUAUAUAUAUCAUUGUCUUGCCUUAAACAUUUAAGUUUAUUAUGUUUCAGGCAUAGAAUUAGGAAGCAAAAUUUAAUAAAUAAAUAAAUAACAACAUUUUCAUCAUAUAAAAUAUAUUGAUCAAAAGUAGUAUACAUUGAAAAUUAUACAUAGAAUCAUAUUGUUACAAUAUGCAAUCAAAACGACCACUAAACGAUAAAAAGUUUAGUGUAUUUGCUUUAUUUAUUUGGUAAAAUUUUAUAUUUUUACAUAAAUAAUAAUAACAUAUAAAAGCCAUAAUAAAAUUUUUUGUAUAAAAUAAUUUAAUUAUUGGAUUAAGUUAUUUGUUUCAUCGAUUUUAUUAUUUAUUGAUAAAAAAAAAAUGUUCACAUAAAUAUUCCAUAUAAAUUUUUAGUCGUUUUGGAUGCAAUCGAUUUAAAUGGAAAAUAUAAAAUAAAAUAUCGAAAGUGAACAAAAAAUAAUAUAAAAGAAAAAUAACGCACAGAAUUAUGCGAAAAGCUAUAAAUAUAAUUGUUUGCAGAUGUUACACAGUAACUCAUGCAGUAUCUAAAAACAUGCGUGUCAACUACUUGAUCAGUUUAAACAAAAGGAUAAAAAACAAAAAUAUUCGAUACAGUAACUUUCACUUGGCUCUUAUUACACAUCGUACAAAUAUUAUUGCUUUCAUGUUAUACUAUGCGCUAAGAAAUAAUAAAAAAAAAAACAAAUUAUUCUAUAAAUUAAUAUACUCCUUAAAUAAAAGAUAUGAAAAAUUAAAUAUAAAAAGUAAUACUACAAUAAUAAUAAAUAAUAUUGAAAACCUACCUAAUAAACUACAACUACAAUCAUGAUUUUAUCUAUUUCAGUAGAUAAUUAUGAAGAUAAAAAAUCACGUAAUAAGUUGAGUAAAAUUCGCUUCAACUUAAAUUUAAAAGAAUUUUGCAAUUCUUUUGUCAGUCAAAAUUAGAAAGUGUCAAUUUCUAACAAACAAGUAUCGUCAAAAAAUUGUAUUCUAGAAUAGUAUUGCUUAAUAAAUAUCACUGAAUUAAGAAUUCUGUCUUGGAAAAAGAGUUCACAAUACUCUUCAUGUCACUACUAAUA